GAUGAAGAACGCAGCGAAAUGCGAUAAGUAGUGUGAAUUGCAGAAUUCAGUGAAUCAUCGAAUCUUUGAACGCACAUUGCGCCCUUUGGUAUUCCUUAGGACAUGCCUGUUCGAGCGUCAUUUAAACCUUCAAGCUCAGCUUGGUGUUGGGUGACUGUCCGCUUCACCGCGGACUCGCCUCAAAAUUAUUGGCGGCCGGUACAUUGGCUUCGAGCGCAGCAGAAACGCGAACUCGGGCCCGUCGUAUUGGCUCCCAGAAGCUAUCUUCACAAUUUUGACCUCGGAUCAGGUAGGGAUACCCGCUGAACUUAAGCAUAUCAAAAGCGGAGGA
This 331-nucleotide unclassified non-coding RNA is filed under the name soil metagenome. Its description in RNAcentral is "partial contains 5.8S ribosomal RNA, internal transcribed spacer 2, and large subunit ribosomal RNA". The stretch from base 1 to 120 matches the Rfam family "5.8S ribosomal RNA", at positions 35 to 154 of the family's 154-position model. The record is from RNAcentral.